GAUGAACGCUGGCGGCGUGCCUAAUACAUGCAAGUCGAGCGAACGGACGAGAAGCUUGCUUUUCUGAUGUUAGCGGCGGACGGGUGAGUAACACGUGGAUAACCUACCUAUAAGACUGGGAUAACUUCGGGAAACCGGAGCCAAUACCGGAUAAUAUUUUGAACCGCAUGGUUCAAAAGUGAAAGACGGUCUUGCUGUCACUUAUAGAUGAAUCCGCGCUGCAUUAGCUAGUUGGUAAGGUAACGGCUUACCAAGGCAACGAUGCAUAGCCGACCUGAGAGGGUGAUCGGCCACACUGGAACUGAGACACGGUCCAGACUCCUACGGGAGGCAGCAGUAGGGAAUCUUCCGCAAUGGGCGGAAGCCUGACGGAGCAACGCCGCGUGAGUGAUGAAGGUCUUCGGAUCGUAAAACUCUGUUAUUAGGGAAGAACAUAUGUGUAAGUAACUGUGCACAUCUUGACGGUACCUAAUCAGAAAGCCACGGCUAACUACGUG
RNAcentral lists this ribosomal RNA (497 nucleotides) under uncultured bacterium. RNAcentral describes it as "partial 16S ribosomal RNA". It matches the Rfam family "Bacterial small subunit ribosomal RNA", at positions 28 to 507 of the family's 1533-position model. The record is from RNAcentral.